GACGGGGACCCGCACAAGCGGUGGAUGAUGUGGAUUAAUUCGAUGCAACGCGAAGAACCUUACCUACCCUUGACAUGUCCGGAACUUGCCAGAGAUGGCUUGGUGCCCGAAAGGGAAUCGGAACACAGGUGCUGCAUGGCUGUCGUCAGCUCGUGUCGUGAGAUGUUGGGUUAAGUCCCGCAACGAGCGCAACCCUUAUCAUUAGUUGCUACGCAAGGGCACUCUAAUGAGACUGCCGGUGACAAACCGGAGGAAGGUGGGGAUGACGUCAAGUCCUCAUGGCCCUUAUGGGUAGGGCUUCACGCGUCAUACAAUGGUCGGUACAGAGGGUUGCCAAGCCGCGAGGCGGGGCCAAUCCCUUAAAGCCGAUCGUAGUCCGGAUCGUAGUCUGCAACUCGACUACGUGAAGUCGGAAUCGCUAGUAAUCGCAGAUCAGCGUGCUGCGGUGAAUACGUUCCCGGGUCUU
RNAcentral lists this ribosomal RNA (466 nucleotides) under uncultured Thiobacillus sp. RNAcentral describes it as "bacterial SSU rRNA". It matches the Rfam family "Bacterial small subunit ribosomal RNA", at positions 912 to 1382 of the family's 1533-position model. Lineage: Bacteria; Pseudomonadati; Pseudomonadota; Betaproteobacteria; Nitrosomonadales; Thiobacillaceae. The record is from RNAcentral.